AUACCGCAUAAGCCCACGGGUCGGCAUCGACCAGAGGGAAAAGGAGCAAUCCGCUUUGAGAUGGCCUCGCGUCCGAUUAGCUAGUUGGUGAGGUAACGGCCCACCAAGGCGACGAUCGGUAGCCGGACUGAGAGGUUGAACGGCCACAUUGGGACUGAGACACGGCCCAGACUCCUACGGGAGGCAGCAGUGGGGAAUAUUGCACAAUGGGGGAAACCCUGAUGCAGCGACGCCGCGUGGAGGAAGAAGGUCUUCGGAUUGUAAACUCCUGUUGUUGAGGAAGAUAAUGACGGUACUCAACAAGGAAGUGACGGCUAACUACGUGCCAGCAGCCGCGGUAAAACGUAGGUCACAAGCGUUGUCCGGAAUUACUGGGUGUAAAGGGAGCGCAGGCGGGAAGACAAGUUGGAAGUGAAAUCCAUGGGCUUAACCCAUGAACUGCUUUCAAAACUGUUUUUCUUGAGUAGUGCAGAGGUAGGCGGAAUUCCCGGUGUAGCGGUGGAAUGCGUAGAUAUCGGGAGGAACACCAGUGGCGAAGGCGGCCUACUGGGCACCAACUGACGCUGAGGCUCGAAAGUGUGGGUAGCGAACAGGAUUAGAUACCCUGGUAGUCCACACCGUAAACGAUGAUUACUAGGUGUUGGAGGAUUGACCCCUUCAGUGCCGCAGUUAACACAAUAAGUAAUCCACCUGGGGAGUACGACCGCAAGGUUGAAACUCAAAGGAAUUGACGGGGGCCCGCACAAGCAGUGGAGUAUGUGGUUUAAUUCGACGCAACGCGAAGAACCUUACCAAGUCUUGACAUCCUGUGACAGACGUAGAAAUACGUUCUUCCUUCGGGACACAGAGACAGGUGGUGCAUGGUUGUCGUCAGCUCGUGUCGUGAGAUGUUGGGUUAAGUCCCGCAACGAGCGCAACCCUUAUGGUCAGUUACUACGCAAGAGGACUCUGGCCAGACUGCCGUUGACAAAACGGAGGAAGGUGGGGAUGACGUCAAAUCAUCAUGCCCUUUAUGACUUGGGCUACACACGUACUACAAUGGCGUUAAACAAAGAGAAGCAAGACCGCGAGGUGGAGCAAAACUCAGAAACAACGUCCCAGUUCGGACUGCAGGCUGCAACUCGCCUGCACGAAGUCGGAAUUGCUAGUAAUCGUGGAUCAGCAUGCCACGGUGAAUACGUUCCCGGGCCUUGUACACACCGCCCGUCACACCAUGAGAGCCGGGGGGACCCGAAGUCGGUAGUCUAACCGCAAGGAGGACGCCGCCGAAGGUAAAACUGGUGAUUGGGGUGAAGUCGUAACAAGGU
This 1307-nucleotide ribosomal RNA is filed under the name metagenome. Its description in RNAcentral is "bacterial SSU rRNA". It matches the Rfam family "Bacterial small subunit ribosomal RNA", at positions 166 to 1497 of the family's 1533-position model. The record is from RNAcentral.